This 423-nucleotide long non-coding RNA is filed under the name Ananas comosus (pineapple). RNAcentral's name for it is "long non-coding RNA (ACOM_LNC021053)". The record is from RNAcentral. Lineage: Eukaryota; Viridiplantae; Streptophyta; Magnoliopsida; Poales; Bromeliaceae.
UGAAAAUUGAGUUGAAUAACUGAAAAGGUUGAAAAAAAAAAUUGAAUAUUUUAGAAUUUUCGGAGUUAUAAGGUGUUAGUUUGAAAAAGAUGUUCAAAGAGCCACCCCCGGUAUCGUAUUAGUUAAAUCUCUAUUUUGAACGGAUUGCGACAAAUUGGUGUCAAUUUUGCCGAAUUUCUAAAAAUCAUUUUUCGUGAACCGUUACAUCUUGAUGAUUUUGAAACUUGAGGUCAUUUUUGAUAAUGAAAUUUUGGUGUUUCGAUGUAUUUUGAAAUCUUAUAAUAUUUUAUCUUCAUCAUAAUGAUUUUUGGAGUACAACUUUUAAUCUUUAUAAAAUUAAUUUGAUUUUGAAGGAUUUUUGAAAAAAUUCUAAAUUUUUGAAAUCCGGCAAAGUGUAUUGGUAGCCAAAGUGUACCGGUUACA